AGACCAGACUCCUACGGGAGGCAGCAGUGAGGAAUAUUGGUCAAUGGGCGGGAGCCUGAACCAGCCAAGUCGCGUGAGGGAAGACGGUCCUACGGAUUGUAGACCUCUUUUGCCGGGGAGCAACGGGGUCCUUGCGAGGGCCCGAUGAGAGUACCCGGAGAAAAAGCAUCGGCUAACUCCGUGCCAGCAGCCGCGGUAAUACGGAGGAUGCGAGCGUUAUCCGGAUUUACUGGGUGUAAAGGGCGUGUAGCCGGGAAGGCAAGUCAGAUGUGAAAUCUGGAGGCUCAACCUCCAAAUUGCAUUUGAAACUGUUUUUCUUGAGUACUGGAGAGGCAGACGGAAUUCCUUGUGUAGCGGUGAAAUGCGUAGAUAUAAGGAGGAACACCAGUGGCGAAGGCGGUCUGCUGGACAGCAACUGACGGUGAGGCGCGAAAGCGUGGGGAGCAAACAGGAUUAGAUACCCGUGUAG
This 469-nucleotide ribosomal RNA is filed under the name uncultured bacterium. RNAcentral's name for it is "bacterial SSU rRNA". It matches the Rfam family "Bacterial small subunit ribosomal RNA", at positions 328 to 793 of the family's 1533-position model. The record is from RNAcentral.